Molecule: long non-coding RNA, 673 nt
Filed under: Sorghum bicolor (sorghum)
Lineage: Eukaryota; Viridiplantae; Streptophyta; Magnoliopsida; Poales; Poaceae
Description: long non-coding RNA (SBIC_LNC002050)
Source: RNAcentral
CGUCCAUUAGCUGAAGGAAAUAGAAGCACUCUGACAUGGUCCAUGGCCAACGUCACUAGCAAGUAGGACUUUGUGACAAUGCUCUUCAUGUGUUUCAACAACACUUUGUCAUAGUCCCGGUGUUAGAACGAGACUUUCACUAUCUAAAGAUAAUAUAUCCACACCAUGUCAAGUCGCUAGGUGCAGGAAGCAAAUGUUUCUGGAUGCUGCAACAACAACUUAGCUAGCAGGAGUUAAAAUUACUCAAAAUUAUUUAUAGGAUUAGAAUGCGGCGGUGUGGAAAACAGAAGAUUAGAAUGCUGGUACGAUGACAAACCAUUGGCACCAUGGGUAAAAUAGCUGCACCAGAUAUAUAUUAUCCAGUGGCAGGCCAAGGCGCGUGCCCAGCAUGUGCCUCUUUCCCUAUGUCUCAAAUUCCCAUGCCUCCUGUUGUUUUUCUUCUUUUCCAGUUCUCUCAUUAUUUUAUUUUCUGAUGCUAACAAAAUAAUAUGUUUGCUAAAAGGAGAGCUAUGAGGUCGUCUGUGGCGUGAUUCAGAGAUGAAGUAUUGUACAUCCAUACAAGUGUGUGGUGCCAUAUUUAUACUGGCAUCGGUAUGGGUUUCAUUGAGUUACUAGGCAACUAGUUUGUGCCCAAUUCAAUGAGAUAGUUUUGUGGUGGUUGAAAAAAAUGGGU